This 325-nucleotide ribosomal RNA is filed under the name Rhizophagus fasciculatus. The record is from RNAcentral. Lineage: Eukaryota; Fungi; Glomeromycota; Glomeromycetes; Glomerales; Glomeraceae.
CAGUCGUACUUAUGGGUAAUCAGCCUUUUGGGUGUGAUUUUGUGGUUUAUGAGGAGUUUAACCGCCUUCAUGUAUUGCAUAUUUGUGCUCUUGGGUGUACUUGUCUGUGUGGUAGGUUAACAUCAAUUUCGGUCGUCAUAAAAUGAUUGGAGGAAUGUAGCUUUGGUCUCGUAUCGAAGUGUUAUAGACUCUGGUAGAUGUGACGAUUGGGGAUUGAGGAUUGCAACGGAUACCCGUUCGGGGGCUACCCCGUCUGAUCUCUGAGGUUGCUCCGGUGCCGAAGCGUGCUUACGGUCAUACGAAAGUGUAUUUUACGAAAAGGUUA